RNAcentral lists this ribosomal RNA (446 nucleotides) under uncultured bacterium. RNAcentral's name for it is "partial 16S ribosomal RNA". It matches the Rfam family "Bacterial small subunit ribosomal RNA", at positions 338 to 795 of the family's 1533-position model. The record is from RNAcentral.
CCUACGGGUGGCAGCAGUCGAGAAUCAUUCACAAUGGGGGAAACCCUGAUGGUGCGACGCCGUGUGGGGGAAUGAAGGUCUUCGGAUUGUAAACCCCUGUCAUGUGGGAGCAAAUUAAAAAGAUAGUACCACAAGAGGAAGAGACGGCUAACUCUGUGCCAGCAGCCGCGGUAAUACAGAGGUCUCAAGCGUUGUUCGGAAUCACUGGGCGUAAGGCGUGCGUAGGCUGUUGCGUAAGUCGUGUGUGAAAGGCGCGGGCUCAACCCGCGGACGGCACAUGAUACUGCGAGACUAGAGUAAUGGAGGGGGAACCGGAAUUCUCGGUGUAGCAGUGAAAUGCGUAGAUAUCGAGAGGAACACUCGUGGCGAAGGCGGGUUCCUGGACAUUAACUGACGCUGAGGCACGAAGGCCAGGGGAGCGAAAGGGAUUAGAUACCCCAGUAGUC